UCAGUCGACUCCUACGGGGAGGCAGCAGUGGGGAAUAUUGCACAAUGGGGGAAACCCUGAUGCAGCCAUGCCGCGUGUGUGAAGAAGGCCUUCGGGUUGUAAAGCACUUUCAGUAGGGAGGAAGGUAGUGUAGUUAACACCUGCAUUAUUUGACGUUACCUACAGAAGAAGCACCGGCUAACUCCGUGCCAGCAGCCGCGGUAAUACGGAGGGUGCGAGCGUUAAUCGGAAUUACUGGGCGUAAAGCGCAUGCAGGCGGCCUGUUAAGUCAGAUGUGAAAGACCCGGGGCUUAACCUCGGAAUUGCAUUUGAAACUGGCAGGCUAGAGUCUUGUAGAGGGGGGGUAGGAAGUUUACAGGUGUAGCGGUGAAAUGCGUAGAGAUCUGAAGGAAUACCAGUGGCGAAGGCGGCCCCCUGGACAAAGACUGACGCUCAGAUGCGAAAGCGUGGGGAGCAAACAGGAUUAGAUACCCCUGGUAG
This 480-nucleotide ribosomal RNA is filed under the name uncultured bacterium. RNAcentral's name for it is "bacterial SSU rRNA". It matches the Rfam family "Bacterial small subunit ribosomal RNA", at positions 328 to 793 of the family's 1533-position model. The record is from RNAcentral.